This 241-nucleotide ribosomal RNA is filed under the name Clostridium combesii. RNAcentral's name for it is "partial 16S ribosomal RNA". It matches the Rfam family "Bacterial small subunit ribosomal RNA", at positions 1300 to 1533 of the family's 1533-position model. Lineage: Bacteria; Bacillati; Bacillota; Clostridia; Eubacteriales; Clostridiaceae. The record is from RNAcentral.
GUAGGCUGCAACUCGCCUACAUGAAGCUGGAGUUGCUAGUAAUCGCGAAUCAGAAUGUCGCGGUGAAUACGUUCCCGGGCCUUGUACACACCGCCCGUCACACCAUGAGAGCUGGUAACACCCGAAGUCCGUGAGGUAACCGUAAGGAGCCAGCGGCCGAAGGUGGGAUUAGUGAUUGGGGUGAAGUCGUAACAAGGUAGCCGUAGGAGAACCUGCGGCUGGAUCACCUCCUUUCUAAGGA